UACGUAGGGAGCAAGCGUUGUUCGGAUUUACUGGGCGUAAAGGGCGCGUAGGCGGCGCGGUAAGUCACUUGUGAAAUCUCUGAGCUUAACUCAGGACGGCCAAGUGAUACUGCAGUGCUAGAGUGCAGAAGGGGCAAUCGGAAUUCUUGGUGUAGCGGUGAAAUGCGUAGAUAUCAAGAGGAACACCUGAGGUGAAGACGGGUUGCUAGGCUGACACUGACGCUGAGGCGCGAAAGCCAGGGGAGCAAACGGG
RNAcentral lists this ribosomal RNA (253 nucleotides) under uncultured bacterium. RNAcentral describes it as "partial 16S ribosomal RNA". It matches the Rfam family "Bacterial small subunit ribosomal RNA", at positions 524 to 776 of the family's 1533-position model. The record is from RNAcentral.